This 496-nucleotide ribosomal RNA is filed under the name uncultured bacterium. Its description in RNAcentral is "partial 16S ribosomal RNA". It matches the Rfam family "Bacterial small subunit ribosomal RNA", at positions 28 to 506 of the family's 1533-position model. The record is from RNAcentral.
GAUGAACGCUGGCGGCGUGCCUAAUACAUGCAAGUCGAGCGAACGGACGAGAAGCUUUCUCCUCUGCUGUUAGCGGCGGACGGGUGAGUAACGCGUGGAUAACCUUCCUCUAUGACGGGGAUAACUUCGGGAAACCGGAUCCGCUACCAGAUAAUACUUUGAACCGCAUGGUUCAAAAGUGAAAGACGGCCUUGCUGUCACUUUUAGAUGGAUUCGGGCUGCAUUAGUUAGUUGGUAAGGUAACGGCUUACCAAGGCAACGUUGCUUAGCCGACCUGAUGGGGGAUUCGGCCCACUUGAAACUGGGCACCGUUCCAGAUCCCUACGGAAGGCAGCAGUGGGGAUACUGCAGCAAUGGGGGAAGGCCUAUCCAGGCAACGCGGGGUGGGUGAUGAAGGCCUUCGGUUGGUAAACCCCUGUUAUGGGGAAAGAACACAGGUGUAAGUAACUGUGCACAUCUUGCCGUUACCUAAGCAGAAGGCCCGGGCUAAUUAGGU